AGAUCUCAAGUAUACCUUCAGAGAAAUGCCAGCAAAAACUGUAGUCAUUUGGGAAGGAAUAAGCCUGGAAGAAAAAGAUACAACGAACUAGCACAACGAGGCGUAAAACGCUGGAGGAGAAGUCAGUAGCAAGCAGCUAAGACAACAUGGUACAUGUGGCUAGAAGCCCACCAACUGCUAACAACCAGCUGGAGGGUUUGGCCUGAAGAACACUUCCUCAAUAAGUCCCUUGUCCUCAGUUUCUGACUUAGGCUCUGCUUCUGGAUAACCCAACAUAAAAUGAAGAAAAUUUGAGUUCCUGGCCAUACUUCUGGUUAUCACACCUAAUGAUUUCUGAUCUUCACAAUGACUCUUCGAGGUAGGGAUUACUAAUCCCAUUUUAUGAAUUAUUACCUUAAUAAUAAUUCAGGUACACUGAGCCAGAUUCAGCGAAAAAGGUAGGGUGCAGAAAGAUAGUUCAGAUAGAUACUGAACUGCUUCAGUGGUUCCUAUGGAGGAACUGAUCAAGGCUGCCUUCAGCAGGAAGGUACUUGGCGACCCAACUCCAGGGCCCUAGGCUCUAACUUCUCACAAACCAGUUCCUUCAGAGGGAAGGCAGAGGUGAGAGGACAGAAGCUGUAUCUUUUCUCAAUCCAUGUUACAUGGUCACUCUUCUAAACCUUUGAAAAUUAAUCUUAGUCAUUUCCGAUGUCUGGCAGGUGGAAUAUGUUAAAUAUGUUUUCAAAUUAACAUAUACCUAAGGAGUCCAGGUUCUAGAUCGCAGUGCAGUUUCUCUCGGUUUGGAGUCUUCAUUAUUUGUCUGUUUCCCUGGAGCUAGGAUUCAUCCCUGUAGUGAGCCUUCUGACUGCAGCUGAUAGCAUUCCUCUACCACACCUUCCGAUGGGGUGGUUCAGGACCAAGAGUAGAUUCAUAAAUACACAAGCCUGGACAUCUGAAUGAGUUGGGACUUUCUGGAUCAAUCAUCCAGCCUUGAGGUAAGCUUUCAAGUGACUAACAAACAUGGCAAGCAUGUGCUGCAUAGGAACCUACUGACCAGAUGGAAGAAAACUUAAUUGAAUACAGAGUCCAUUUUCAAAGUUUAGAAUAUGGUGUGUUGAGAUACGUUUGUUAGUUUUCUCCUUUCUGCUAGGGGACGCUGUUGAGGAAGCAUUGUUAAAGUCUCUCUUCCCACUGCUGUCGUGUCUAAGUUGGAGUCUCCUAAAGAGCCUAAAUGGUUGUGGAAGCUCCUCAUUGGAGGGUUGAGCUUUGAAACAACCGCUGAGAGCCUGAGGAGCCAUUUUGAGUAAUGGGGAAAUGCUCACAAACUGUGUAGCAAUGAGAUCCAAACACCAAGUGCUCCAGAGCUUUUGGGAUUGUCACAAAUGCCACUGUGGAGGAGGCAGAUGCAUGCAUGGCCACACAAGGGGAUGGAAGAGUUGUACAACCAAAGAGCUAUCUCAGGAGAAGAUUCUCAGAGACCAAGUGCCCACUUAGCCGUGAAAAAGAUAUUUGUUGGCGGCAUUAAAGAAGACACUGAAGAACAUCACCAAAGAGAUUAUUUUGAACAGCAUGGGAAAAUUGAAGUGAUUGAAACCAUGACUGACCAAGGCAGUGGCAAGAAAAAGCGCUUUGCUUUUGUCACCUUUGAUGGCCAUGACUUCGUGGAUAAGACUGUCAUUCAGAAAUACCACAUUGGGAAUGGCCACAACUGUGAAGUUAGGAAAGCCCUGUCAAAGCAAGAGGUGGCUAGUGCUUCAUCCAGGCAAAGAAGCCAAAAUUGUUCUGGAAACUUUGGUGGUGGUC
This 1782-nucleotide long non-coding RNA is filed under the name Homo sapiens (human). RNAcentral's name for it is "HSALNT0368972". Lineage: Eukaryota; Metazoa; Chordata; Mammalia; Primates; Hominidae. The record is from RNAcentral.